GGAUGGUAGAGAGCAGUCUUCAGCCUGAGACCCGUCCCUAGGGACAUGGAUGAAGCUGGAAACCAUCAUUCUCAGCAAACUAUCACAAGGACAGAAAACCAAACAUCACAUGUUCCCACUCACAGGUGGGAAUUGAACAAUGAGAACACUUGGACAUAAGGUGGGUAACAUCACACUGGGGCUUUUCAGGGAAUGGGGAGCUAUGGGAGGGAUAGCAUUAGGAGAAAUACCUAAUGUAAAUGACGGGUUGAUGGGUGCAGCAAACAAACAUGGCACAUGUAUACCUAUGUAACAAACCUGCACGUUGUGCACAUGUACCCUAGAACUUAAAGUAUAAUUUAAAAAAUAAAUAAAGAGGUUUAAUUUGGUAAGAAAGCUUAAAUAGAAAUAAUUUCAUAUGAGAAGGAAUCUUGCAUGGUAAAUUUAGUCCUAGAGUGAAAUGAAUGGUUCUUUAAGAAAGAUGGAUGCUCAGGACCAACCAGAAAGUCCAAGGAUAUCAUGAACGGUCUGCAUAAGCCACAAUAGGAUGAUUUAUUAAAGAAACAAACAAAAAAACAACUUGUACAUGACCAAGUAAAUGGAAAUUAGGAUAGCCUUUCUAGAGAUUGGGUUUGAUGUUAAAAAAAAAAGCACUUAUGCACUAAAGAAUUGGUCAGAGUAAUGAAAUUUUUAAGGGGUUGAUUUUAUUCUCAAUAAAUUAU
RNAcentral lists this long non-coding RNA (701 nucleotides) under Homo sapiens (human). The record is from RNAcentral. Lineage: Eukaryota; Metazoa; Chordata; Mammalia; Primates; Hominidae.